CUACAGGCUUAACACAUGCAAGUCGAGGGGCAGCAUGGUCUUAGCUUGCUAAGGCCGAUGGCGACCGGCGCACGGGUGAGUAACACGUAUCCAACCUGCCGUCUACUCUUGGACAGCCUUCUGAAAGGAAGAUUAAUACAAGAUGGCAUCAUGAGUCCGCAUGUUCACAUGAUUAAAGGUAUUCCGGUAGACGAUGGGGAUGCGUUCCAUUAGAUAGUAGGCGGGGUAACGGCCCACCUAGUCUUCGAUGGAUAGGGGUUCUGAGAGGAAGGUCCCCCACAUUGGAACUGAGACACGGUCCAAACUCCUACGGGAGGCAGCAGUGAGGAAUAUUGGUCAAUGGGCGAGAGCCUGAACCAGCCAAGUAGCGUGAAGGAUGACUGCCCUAUGGGUUGUAAACUUCUUUUAUAAAGGAAUAAAGUCGGGUAUGGAUACCCGUUUGCAUGUACUUUAUGAAUAAGGAUCGGCUAACUCCGUGCCAGCAGCCGCGGUAAUACGGAGGAUCCGAGCGUUAUCCGGAUUUAUUGGGUUUAAAGGGAGCGUAGAUGGAUGUUUAAGUCAGUUGUGAAAGUUUGCGGCUCAACCGUAAAAUUGCAGUUGAUACUGGAUAUCUUGAGUGCAGUUGAGGCAGGCGGAAUUCGUGGUGUAGCGGUGAAAUGCUUAGAUAUCACGAAGAACUCCGAUUGCGAAGGCAGCCUGCUAAGCUGCAACUGACAUUGAGGCUCGAAAGUGUGGGUAUCAAACAGGAUUAGAUACCCUGGUAGUCCACACGGUAAACGAUGAAUACUCGCUGUUUGCGAUAUACGGCAAGCGGCCAAGCGAAAGCGUUAAGUAUUCCACCUGGGGAGUACGCCGGCAACGGUGAAACUCAAAGGAAUUGACGGGGGCCCGCACAAGCGGAGGAACAUGUGGUUUAAUUCGAUGAUACGCGAGGAACCUUACCCGGGCUUAAAUUGCAGAUGAAUUACGGUGAAAGCCGUAAGCCGCAAGGCAUCUGUGAAGGUGCUGCAUGGUUGUCGUCAGCUCGUGCCGUGAGGUGUCGGCUUAAGUGCCAUAACGAGCGCAACCCUUGUUGUCAGUUACUAACAGGUUCCGCUGAGGACUCUGACAAGACUGCCAUCGUAAGAUGUGAGGAAGGUGGGGAUGACGUCAAAUCAGCACGGCCCUUACGUCCGGGGCUACACACGUGUUACAAUGGGGGGUACAGAGGGCCGCUACCACGCGAGUGGAUGCCAAUCCCCAAAACCUCUCUCAGUUCGGACUGGAGUCUGCAACCCGACUCCACGAAGCUGGAUUCGCUAGUAAUCGCGCAUCAGCCACGGCGCGGUGAAUACGUUCCCGGGCCUUGUACACACCGCCCGUCAAGCCAUGGGAGCCGGGGGUACCUGAAGUGCGUAACCGCGAGGAGCGCCCUAGGGUAAAACUGGUGACUGGGGCUAAAUCAUA
Molecule: ribosomal RNA, 1446 nt
Filed under: uncultured organism
Description: SSU rRNA
Rfam family: Bacterial small subunit ribosomal RNA
Source: RNAcentral